GAUUGCCUCAGUAACGGCGAGUGAAGCGGCAAAAGCUCAAAUUUGAAAUCUGGCUCUUUCAGGGUCCGAGUUGUAAUUUGUAGAAGAUGUUUCGGGUGUGGCUCCGGUUUAAGUUCUUUGGAAUAUUACAUCAUAGAGGGUGAGAAUCCCGUAUGUGACCGGCAGCCUUCGUCCAUGUGAAACUCUUUCGACGAGUCGAGUUGUUUGGGAAUGCAGCUCAAAAUGGGAGGUAUAUUUCUUCUAAAGCUAAAUAUAGGCCAGAGACCGAUAGCGCACAAGUAGAGUGAUCGAAAGAUGAAAAGCACUUUGGAAAGAGAGUUAAACAGUACGUGAAAUUGUUGAAAGGGAAGCGCUUGCAACCAGACUUGCACGCAGUUGAUCAUCCGGUGUUCUCACCGGGGCACUCUGCUGCGUUCAGGCCAGCAUCGGUUUUGGUGGUUGGAUAAAGGCCUUGGGAAUGUGGCUUCCUUCGGGGAGUGUUAUAGCCCUCGGUGCAAUGCAGCCUACCGGGACCGAGGACCGCGCUUCGGCUAGGAUGCUGGCGUAAUGGUUGUAAGCGACCCGUCUUGAAACACGGACCAAGGAGUCUAACAUCUAUGCGAGUGUUUGGGUGUCAAACCCAUACGCGUAAUGAAAGUGAACGGAGGUGAGAACCCUUAAGGGUGCAUCAUCGACCGGUCCUGAAGUCUUCGGAUGGAUCUGAGUAAGAGCAUAGCUGUUGGGACCCGAAAGAUGGUGAACUAUGCGUGAAUAGGGUGAAGCCAGAGGAAACUCUGGUG
RNAcentral lists this ribosomal RNA (779 nucleotides) under Rhytismatales sp. Its description in RNAcentral is "partial large subunit ribosomal RNA". It matches the Rfam family "Eukaryotic large subunit ribosomal RNA", at positions 73 to 869 of the family's 3401-position model. Lineage: Eukaryota; Fungi; Ascomycota; Leotiomycetes; Rhytismatales. The record is from RNAcentral.